This is a long non-coding RNA of Cimex lectularius (bed bug), 528 nucleotides long. RefSeq lists it as uncharacterized. The transcript is spliced from 3 exons. The record is from RefSeq and is a predicted model, not a curated record. NCBI's taxonomy places the organism in Eukaryota, Metazoa, Arthropoda, Insecta, Hemiptera, Cimicidae.
UUUUUAACACAUAUAAAUAUGGAUAUCUCAAUAACUCGGAACUGUCAGAGGACCUAGAAAAAUUGGCUAAACGAUUUACAAAAAAUUAUACCAACAGAUUUAAAAAAUUGACUGACUUAAAUGAACUAUAAGGCUUCAUACCGAUUGAAAAUUUAGCGUAAUUGGUGAUAAAUCAGGCGAUUUCUAGUCGACCACUCGCCGAAUACCGUGAUGAGAAGCAAUAAUGCAAAGAGAAGCCGCUGUUUUCUCCAGAUAGCAUUCAUGUCCCACUUUAACUUUUCGUAUUUCUGAGUCUUUCAUGUAAAUAUUGUUUGCAGUUGUUGAUGGACUGGGAUGGGAUAGCCAAGAUGAUACAAGACCAGUUAACAGACACGAAUCCACCUAUAAACGCUACGGCAAAGUAAAACUUUUGGCAUAAGUUUAAAUUCUCCUAAAUCAUCUUGCCUUUAAUCAACUUAAAAGGUCGUUAACGUCAAGUUUCAUUUUUCGAAAUCUAGCGCCAACAACCCGAAUCAAGGGAAUUUUUUG